Pimephales promelas (fathead minnow) is the source of this 373-nucleotide non-coding RNA. The record is from RefSeq and is a predicted model, not a curated record. NCBI's taxonomy places the organism in Eukaryota, Metazoa, Chordata, Actinopteri, Cypriniformes, Leuciscidae.
CUGGAUGAAACCACAUGCUUCGAGAAUUCAGCACACGUGAAAGUAAAAUACCAGAUCUUCAGCACAUUCCUCCUGCGCUUUACACAGACCCCAACGAGAUCGCGCAGCAUUUACCCCUGAAACUCACCGAGUGUGAGAAGCUGCAGCUCCCGGAGACGCCGGCGGGAACAUCACAGUCUCCACUGCGGCGGGAGUGAACACCGGAAGUAAAGACUCGUUCACCCUCGCUAUGAUCACAUCUGAAACUGUCCUGUAGAGUCUCAUCCUGUAACUUUCAUGAGGUGCAGAAUGUCUGCUUUGUAAUGUAAUGCUUGUUUGAUCUGUUUGUCAUUGGAGAAGAUUUUAUUAAAACGCUUUAAAUGAUUUCACUGGA